UACGUAGGGUGCAAGCGUUGUCCGGAAUUAUUGGGCGUAAAGAGCUCGUAGGCGGUCUGUUGCGUCGGCUGUGAAAACCCGGGGCUCAACUCCGGGCCUGCAGCCGAUACGGGCAGACUAGAGUUCGGCAGGGGAGACUGGAAUUCCUGGUGUAGCGGUGAAAUGCGCAGAUAUCAGGAGGAACACCGGUGGCGAAGGCGGGUCUCUGGGCAGUAACUGACGCUGAGGAGCGAAAGCGUGGGGAGCGAACAGG
RNAcentral lists this ribosomal RNA (253 nucleotides) under uncultured bacterium. Its description in RNAcentral is "partial 16S ribosomal RNA". It matches the Rfam family "Bacterial small subunit ribosomal RNA", at positions 524 to 776 of the family's 1533-position model. The record is from RNAcentral.